Molecule: long non-coding RNA, 226 nt
Filed under: Panax ginseng (ginseng)
Lineage: Eukaryota; Viridiplantae; Streptophyta; Magnoliopsida; Apiales; Araliaceae
Description: long non-coding RNA (PGIN_LNC016179)
Source: RNAcentral
CUCUUUACUUAUGGCUUGAUAUGACAGUGAUUGACUUUAGUGGUUUGGUUGCUUGAAUUUGCAUAACAGGUUGGUUAGGAAUAUGAAAACUAACAACCUUACGAAAAGCAUAAUGAGUAGUUAACCAAUCAAUUCCUAAAAUCGCAUCAAAGGCAAGUAUUUUUAAAGAGAUAAGAUUGACAGGUAACGUGAAAGUGUCGAUUUGAAUCAAAUAAGAUUUAUAAAC